AGUGAACGCUGGCGGUAGGCCUAACACAUGCAAGUCGAACGGCAGCACAGUAAGAGCUUGCUCUUACGGGUGGCGAGUGGCGGACGGGUGAGGAAUACAUCGGAAUCUACUUUUUCGUGGGGGAUAACGUAGGGAAACUUACGCUAAUACCGCAUACGACCUACGGGUGAAAGCAGGGGAUCUUCGGACCUUGCGCGAUUGAAUGAGCCGAUGUCGGAUUAGCUAGUUGGCGGGGUAAAGGCCCACCAAGGCGACGAUCCGUAGCUGGUCUGAGAGGAUGGUCAGCCACACUGGACCUGAGACACGGCCCAGCCUCCUACGGGAGGCAGCAGUGGGGAAUAUUGGACAAUGGGCGCAAGCCUGAGCCAGCCAUACCGCGUGGGUGAAGAAGGCCUUCGGGUUGUAAAGCCCUUUUGUUGGGAAAGAAAAGCAGCAGGUUAAUACCCCGCUGUUCUGACGGUACCCAAAGAAUAAGCACCGGCUACCUUCGU
RNAcentral lists this ribosomal RNA (491 nucleotides) under uncultured bacterium. Its description in RNAcentral is "partial 16S ribosomal RNA". It matches the Rfam family "Bacterial small subunit ribosomal RNA", at positions 29 to 506 of the family's 1533-position model. The record is from RNAcentral.